UUCGAUCAAAUAGAGCUUCCUAUCCUACGUUUUUCUUUUUUUCCCACGGUAGCGAUAUUCCUUUGCUACUUCUUUCCUCGGCUAAUGGAAAAAAAUCCUUCUUUUUACCCUGUCUGGCGCCAUCCAUCUCCAAAUAGUAAAUGCGCUGCUGAGCUCAGAUGUCCGCUCGUCUGGCAAGUUGGCAGCAAGCACUUCCUCCCCUCUUUGUGUGGAAAAGCUUCUGAAAGCCUAUUAGUUAGUAUUAGUAAAAAACCUAGUUAAGGGGUCCGUAGUUGUCGCAAUCGCUCAUUGGUCUUCACCUCAAGUGCUUUCUUCAAUGAGUCCAAGUC
This 329-nucleotide long non-coding RNA is filed under the name Nicotiana benthamiana. RNAcentral describes it as "long non-coding RNA (NBEN_LNC035043)". The record is from RNAcentral. Lineage: Eukaryota; Viridiplantae; Streptophyta; Magnoliopsida; Solanales; Solanaceae.